UCUCAAGUGGCUCAGACGGUAAAGCGUCUGCCUACAGUGUGGGAGACCCGGGUUCGAUCCCUGGGUUGGGAA
Molecule: transfer RNA, 72 nt
Filed under: Bos taurus (domestic cattle)
Lineage: Eukaryota; Metazoa; Chordata; Mammalia; Artiodactyla; Bovidae
Also listed under: 1 other name
Rfam family: tRNA
About the family: Transfer RNA (tRNA) molecules are approximately 80 nucleotides in length. Their secondary structure includes four short double-helical elements and three loops (D, anti-codon, and T loops).
Source: Rfam by way of RNAcentral